Molecule: unclassified non-coding RNA, 331 nt
Filed under: soil metagenome
Description: partial contains 5.8S ribosomal RNA, internal transcribed spacer 2, and large subunit ribosomal RNA
Rfam family: 5.8S ribosomal RNA (bases 1-120)
Source: RNAcentral
GAUGAAGAACGCAGCGAAAUGCGAUAAGUAAUGUGAAUUGCAGAAUUCAGUGAAUCAUCGAAUCUUUGAACGCACAUUGCGCCCCCUGGUAUUCCGGGGGGCAUGCCUGUUCGAGCGUCAUUUCACCACUCAAGCCUCGCUUGGUAUUGGGCAACGCGGUCCGCCGCGUGCCUCAAAUCGACCGGCUGGGUCUUCUGUCCCCUAAGCGUUGUGGAAACUAUUCGCUAAAGGGUGUUCGGGAGGCUACGCCGUAAAACAACCCCAUUUCUAAGGUUGACCUCGGAUCAGGUAGGGAUACCCGCUGAACUUAAGCAUAUCAAGAAGCGGAGGA